GCUGACGAGUUCAAAAUAGGACGAAACGCACGUCC
RNAcentral lists this non-coding RNA (35 nucleotides) under Schistosoma mansoni. Lineage: Eukaryota; Metazoa; Platyhelminthes; Trematoda; Strigeidida; Schistosomatidae. The record is from RNAcentral.